GAUGAACGCUAGCUACAGGCUUAACACAUGCAAGUCGAGGGGAAACGACAUCGAAAGCUUGCUUUUGAUGGGCGUCGACCGGCGCACGGGUGAGUAACGCGUAUCCAACCUGCCCAUCACUUGGGAAUAACCUUGCGAAAGUAAGACUAAUACCCAAUGAUAUCCCACGAAGGCAUCGGAAUGGGAUUAAAGAUUUAUCGGUGAUGGAUGGGGAUGCGUCUGAUUAGCUUGUUGGCGGGGUAACGGCCCACCAAGGCAACGAUCAGUAGGGGUUCUGAGAGGAAGGUCCCCCACAUUGGAACUGAGACACGAUCCAAACUCCUACGGGAGGCAGCAGUGAGGAAUAUUGGUCAAUGGGCGAGAGCCUGAACCAGCCAAGUAGCGUGCAGGAAGACGGCCCUAUGGGUUGUAAACUGCUUUUAUAAGGGAAUAAAGUGGGUCACGUGUGACUUUUUGCAUGUACCUUAUGAAUAAGGACCGGCUAAUUCCGUG
This 492-nucleotide ribosomal RNA is filed under the name uncultured bacterium. Its description in RNAcentral is "partial 16S ribosomal RNA". It matches the Rfam family "Bacterial small subunit ribosomal RNA", at positions 28 to 507 of the family's 1533-position model. The record is from RNAcentral.